RNAcentral lists this ribosomal RNA (417 nucleotides) under Listeria monocytogenes. RNAcentral describes it as "bacterial SSU rRNA". It matches the Rfam family "Bacterial small subunit ribosomal RNA", at positions 1126 to 1533 of the family's 1533-position model. The record is from RNAcentral. Lineage: Bacteria; Bacillati; Bacillota; Bacilli; Caryophanales; Listeriaceae.
UUUAGUUGGGCACUCUAGCGAGACUGCCGGUGACAAACCGGAGGAAGGUGGGGAUGACGUCAAAUCAUCAUGCCCCUUAUGACCUGGGCUACACACGUGCUACAAUGGGAAGUACAACGAGUCGCUAGACCGCGAGGUCAUGCAAAUCUCUUAAAGCUUCUCUCAGUUCGGAUUGCAGGCUGCAACUCGCCUGCAUGAAGCCGGAAUCGCUAGUAAUCGCGGAUCAGCACGCCGCGGUGAAUACGUUCCCGGGCCUUGUACACACCGCCCGUCACACCACGAGAGUUUGUAACACCCGAAGUCGGUGAGGUAACCUUUUUGGAGCCAGCCGCCUAAGGUGGGAUAGAUGAUUGGGGUGAAGUCGUAACAAGGUAGCCGUAUCGGAAGGUGCGGCUGGAUCACCUCCUUUCUAAGGAA